Non-coding RNA from Ceratotherium simum simum (southern white rhinoceros), 203 nucleotides. Lineage: Eukaryota; Metazoa; Chordata; Mammalia; Perissodactyla; Rhinocerotidae. The record is from RefSeq and is a predicted model, not a curated record.
UCAAGGCUACGUGAGGGGAGCUACGGAGCUGGCAAGAAUCCUUUCUCUCUCUGUGGGAUGGCUGAAAGCCAAGGGACCCCAAAGCCAAUGAAUGUGACCUCCAAUGACCACCUGUUUAUAGGAGCCUAUUAUAUAAGGGUAACUGUCCCAAACUACCUUGGGUGAGAGUGGGAACCAUCUGGGAGGUCAAAACAGGUUUUCUC